UACGUAGGGGGCAAGCGUUGUCCGGAAUCAUUGGGCGUAAAGAGCGUGUAGGCGGUUCGGUAAGUCGGCUGUGAAAGUCCAGGGCUCAACCCUGGGAUGCCGGUCGAUACUGCCGGACUAGAGUUCGGAAGAGGCGAGUGGAAUUCCCGGUGUAGCGGUGAAAUGCGCAGAUAUCGGGAGGAACACCUAUGGCGAAGGCAGCUCGCUGGGACGUUACUGGCGCUGAGACGCGAAAGCGUGGGGAGCAAACGGG
Molecule: ribosomal RNA, 253 nt
Filed under: uncultured bacterium
Lineage: Bacteria
Description: partial 16S ribosomal RNA
Rfam family: Bacterial small subunit ribosomal RNA
Source: RNAcentral